CCUACGGGAUGCAGCAGUGGGGAAUCUUCCGCAAUGGGCGAAAGCCUGACGGAGCAACGCCGCGUGAUCGAAUGAAGGCCUUCGGGUUGUAAAGAUCUGUUGACAGGGACGCAUAAGCCAUGCGAAUAGUUUGGUGUAUGACGGUACCUGUUUAGAAAGCUCCGGCUAACUACGUGCCAGCAGCCGCGGUAAUACGUAGGGAGCAAGCGUUGUCCGGAAUUACUGGGCGUAAAGGGCGCGUAGGUGGGUGCUUAAGUCAGGUGUGAAAACUCUGGGCUCAACCUGGAGACUGCAUGUGAAACUGGGUAUCUUGAGGGCAGGAGAGGAAAGUGGAAUUCCUAGUGUAGCGGGGAAAUGCGUAGAUAUUAGGAGGAAAACCAGUGGCGAAGGCGACUUUCUGGACUGUACCUGACGCUGAGGCGCGAAAGCGUGGGUAGCGAACGGGAUUAGAUACCCUUGUAGUC
Molecule: ribosomal RNA, 464 nt
Filed under: uncultured bacterium
Lineage: Bacteria
Description: partial 16S ribosomal RNA
Rfam family: Bacterial small subunit ribosomal RNA
Source: RNAcentral